Molecule: ribosomal RNA, 916 nt
Filed under: archaeon enrichment culture clone EAr-c32
Lineage: Archaea
Description: bacterial SSU rRNA
Rfam family: Archaeal small subunit ribosomal RNA
Source: RNAcentral
UUCCGGUUGAUCCUGCCAGAGGCUACUGCUAUCGGGGUCCGACUAAGCCAUGCGAGUUGAGAGGGGUAAGCCCUCGGCAUAUUGCUCAGUAACACGCGGAUAACCUGCCCUUGGGUUUGGGAUAACCCCGGGAAACUGGGACUAAUACCGGAUAGAUCAAAGAAACUGGAAUGUUCUCUGAUCGAAAGCUCCGGCGCCCAAGGAUGGGUCUGCGGCCUAUCAGGUAGUAGUGGGUGUAACGUACCUACUAGCCUACGACGGGUAAGGGUUGUGAGAGCAAGAGCCCUGAGAUGGAUUCUGAGACAUGAAUCCAGGCCCUACGGGGUGCAGCAGGCGCGAAAACUUUACACUGCGGGAAACCGCGAUAAGGGGACCCCGAGUGCCAGCACCUAGUGCUGGCUGUCCAGCUGUUCAAAUAACAGUCGUUAGCAAGGGCCGGGCAAGACCGGUGCCAGCCGCCGCGGUAACACCGGCGGCCCGAGUGGUAGCCGUUAUUAUUGGGUUUAAAGGGUCCGUAGCCGGCCUAUUAAGUCUCUUGGGAAAUCUGGCGACUCAAUCGUCAGGCGUUCAAGAGAUACUGGUAGGCUUGGGACCGGGAGAGGUGGGAGGUACUCCAGGGGUAGGGGUGAAAUCUCGUAAUCCUUGGGGGACCACCGAUGGCGAAGGCAUCCCACCAGAACGGGUCCGACGGUGAGGGACGAAAGCUGGGGGCACGAACCGGAUUAGAUACCCGGGUAGUCCCAGCCGUAAACGAUGCUCGCUAGGUGUCAGGUGCGGUGCGACCGCAUCUGGUGCCGCAGUGAAAACUUGAAGCGAGUCACCUGGGAAGUACGGUCGCAAGGCUGAAACUUAAAGGAAUUGGCGGGGGAGCACUACAACGGGUGGAGCCUGCGGUUCAAUUGGAUUCAACGCCGGA